This is a long non-coding RNA of Bradysia coprophila, 702 nucleotides long. RefSeq lists it as uncharacterized. NCBI's taxonomy places the organism in Eukaryota, Metazoa, Arthropoda, Insecta, Diptera, Sciaridae. The record is from RefSeq and is a predicted model, not a curated record.
UCAAUUUGCACAGAUAGUUUGUCGAAAUUAGAUCGUCAUAACUUAUGUAUCGUCUGAGACAUUUCAAAGAAAUUUAUGGUAAAUGUUGUGCUGCCAAUGUGGACUCACCAUUCGCCGAGAGCAGCUACUAUGGCAUUAACCCACUUUCAUUUGAAAAUUUUCUGAAAAAGUUCAUCCGUCUACUUACUCCAUGUGAAACUGUUUCUUUACACUGGCUCUACUGGUACGUGUUGCUUUUGAGCAUACUGAAAAUGUAUAAUACCGUAAGCGAAUGCAAUGCAGUUUUUGGGCAGGCAAAAAAAUUAUUUAUAUUUCGUGAUCGUCAACUAUUGCAUGUUUCCCAUCGAUGGCGAAAUAAAAUUAGACAAUUCGUUGUGUGCUUCGUAUGCAUCAUGGAUGUGUUCUUGGCUUUGGGAAUACUGACGAUGAAACCUCAUUAUAUGACGCCAUGGAUAAAUAUUCAGUUUUUCUCGCUGCUAAUUGACAUUUUGUUGCACAUUUCCGAUAUUUGCAAUGGUACAGUAGCGCCAUCAUUUCAAAAUAUCGUUGCGUUCUUGUUCAUCUAUUUCAACCUUGAAAGUGUUUCGUGCAUUCGAAAGAUUUUUGUUCAGUUGAUGCCAGUAGACACUAAUAUUGCGGACGGUUACUCGUUAUUUUAAACAAAUAAAUUUUACAUGAUUCGUCUACAAUGUUUCUCUAUUU